RNAcentral lists this ribosomal RNA (306 nucleotides) under Triticum aestivum (bread wheat). RNAcentral describes it as "partial small subunit ribosomal RNA". The record is from RNAcentral. Lineage: Eukaryota; Viridiplantae; Streptophyta; Magnoliopsida; Poales; Poaceae.
AUGACAGGUAGAGCAUCGCGGCAUCCGCCCUACGAUGUGUCAGGCACUCGGCAACAACCCUGGACCGCACGUCGUCGUUGGAGUCGGACAUGGCUUUCUCUGUUUCUCCAUCUGCUCCCGUCGACGGAGGCCCAUGUGGUGUUGCGCCAGGCCGUGUGCAUCAUAUCCGGCGGCGAUGAAGCAUGCAAGUUGAUGGGCAAGAACUGUGGACCGUGCGGACGGCGAUGGAGUGAUGGGAGGAAGGCACGUCAGAGAUGGAGAUGGGGCAGUUCCGUGUCCAUGGUGUCCAUGACACCAUGGUCGUAG